CAGCAGCCGCGGUAAUACGAAGGGUGCAAGCGUUACUCGGAAUUACUGGGCGUAAAGCGUGCGUAGGUGGUGGUUUAAGUCCGUUGUGAAAGCCCUGGGCUCAACCUGGGAAUUGCAGUGGAUACUGGGUCACUAGAGUGUGGUAGAGGAUAGUGGAAUUUCCGGUGUAGCAGUGAAUGCGUAGAGAUCGGAAGGAACAUCUGUGGCGAAGGCGACUAUCUGGGCCAACACUGACACUGAGGCACGAAAGCGUGGGGAGCAAACAGGAUUAGAUACCCCCGUAGUCCCUGUCUCUUAUACA
Molecule: ribosomal RNA, 301 nt
Filed under: uncultured bacterium
Lineage: Bacteria
Description: partial 16S ribosomal RNA
Rfam family: Bacterial small subunit ribosomal RNA
Source: RNAcentral